RNAcentral lists this ribosomal RNA (460 nucleotides) under uncultured bacterium. Its description in RNAcentral is "partial 16S ribosomal RNA". It matches the Rfam family "Bacterial small subunit ribosomal RNA", at positions 338 to 795 of the family's 1533-position model. The record is from RNAcentral.
CCUACGUGAGGCAGCAGUGAGGAAUAUUGGUCAAUGGGCGCGAGCCUGAACCAGCCAAGUAGCGUGAAGGAUGACUGCCCUACGGGUUGUAAACUUCUUUUAUAAAGGAAUAAAGUGAGGCACGUGUGCCUUUUUGUAUGUACUUUAUGAAUAAGGAUCGGCUAACUCCGUGCCAGCAGCCGCGGUAAUACGGAGGAUCCGAGCGUUAUCCGGAUUUAUUGGGUUUAAAGGGAGCGUAGAUGGGUUGUUAAGUCAGUUGUGAAAGUUUGCGGAUCAACCGUAAAAUUGCAAUUGAUACUGGCAGUCUUGAGUACAGUUGAGGUAGGCGGAAUUCGUGGUGUAGCGGUGAAAUGCUUAGAUAUCACGAAGAACUCCGAUUGCGAAGGCAGCUUACUAAACUGCCACUGACAUUGAUGCUCGAAAGUGUGGGUAUCAAACAGGAUUAGAUACCCUAGUAGUC